RNAcentral lists this transfer RNA (58 nucleotides) under Dipodomys ordii (Ord's kangaroo rat). It matches the Rfam family "tRNA", at positions 8 to 63 of the family's 71-position model. From Rfam's summary of the family: Transfer RNA (tRNA) molecules are approximately 80 nucleotides in length. Their secondary structure includes four short double-helical elements and three loops (D, anti-codon, and T loops). The record is from Rfam by way of RNAcentral. Lineage: Eukaryota; Metazoa; Chordata; Mammalia; Rodentia; Heteromyidae.
UGGCUCAGUGGUAGGGUGCUUGCCUUGCAUGCAAGAGGCCCUGGGUUAAAUAUCUCAG